CCUACGGGAGGCAGCAGUGAGGAAUAUUGGUCAAUGGACGCAAGUCUGAACCAGCCAUGCCGCGUGCAGGAAGACUGCUCUAUGAGUUGUAAACUUCUUUUAUACAGGGAUAAACGCAGGUACGUGUGUCUUUCUGAAAGUAUCUUACGAAUAAGGAUCGGCUAACUCCGUGCCAGCAGCCGCGGUAAUACGGAGGAUUCGAGCGUUAUCCGGAUUUAUUGGGUUUAAAGGGAGCGUAGGAGGUCUGUUAAGUUAGCGGUGAAAGGCUGAGGCUAAACUGCGGAAUUGCCUUUGAUACUGGUCGGCUAGAGUGCAGUUGAGGUAGGCGGAAUGCAUGGUGUAGCGGUGAAAUGCUUAGAUAGCACGCAGAACACCGAUUGCGAAGGCAGCUUACCAAGCUACCUCUGACGUUGAGGCACGAAAGCGUGGGGAGCAAACAGGAUUAGAUACCCGUGUAGUC
This 460-nucleotide ribosomal RNA is filed under the name uncultured bacterium. RNAcentral describes it as "partial 16S ribosomal RNA". It matches the Rfam family "Bacterial small subunit ribosomal RNA", at positions 338 to 795 of the family's 1533-position model. The record is from RNAcentral.